RNAcentral lists this transfer RNA (104 nucleotides) under Phytophthora infestans T30-4. RNAcentral describes it as "tRNA-Tyr for anticodon GUA". It matches the Rfam family "tRNA". From Rfam's summary of the family: Transfer RNA (tRNA) molecules are approximately 80 nucleotides in length. Their secondary structure includes four short double-helical elements and three loops (D, anti-codon, and T loops). The record is from Rfam by way of RNAcentral. Lineage: Eukaryota; Oomycota; Peronosporomycetes; Peronosporales; Peronosporaceae.
CCGAGUGUAGCUCAGUUGGUAGAGCGAAUGACUGUAGUGUUCUAUACUGUGUUUCAGUAUUCUCGGAAAUCAAUUGGUCGCUGGUUCGAUUCCGGCCACUCGGA